This 445-nucleotide ribosomal RNA is filed under the name uncultured bacterium. RNAcentral describes it as "partial 16S ribosomal RNA". It matches the Rfam family "Bacterial small subunit ribosomal RNA", at positions 354 to 796 of the family's 1533-position model. The record is from RNAcentral.
GUGAGGAAUAUUGGUCAAUGGGCGAGAGCCUGAACCAGCCAAGUCGCGUGAAGGAAGAAGGAUCUAUGGUUCGUAAACUUCUUUUGCAGGGGAAUAAAGUGCAGGACGUGUUCUGUCUUGUAUGUACCCUGAGAAUAAGGAUCGGCUAACUCCGUGCCAGCAGCCGCGGUAAUACGGAGGAUCCGAGCGUUAUCCGGAUUUAUUGGGUUUAAAGGGUGCGUAGGUGGUUUGAUAAGUCAGCGGUGAAAGUUUGCAGCUUAACCGUAAAAAUGCCGUUGAAACUGUCGGACUUGAGUGUAAAUGAGGUAGGCGGAAUGCGUGGUGUAGCGGUGAAAUGCAUAGAUAUCACGCAGAACUCCGAUUGCGAAGGCAGCUUACUAAGCUACAACUGACACUGAAGCACGAAAGCGUGGGGAUCAAACAGGAUUAGAUACCCCUGUAGUCC